This 303-nucleotide ribosomal RNA is filed under the name Triticum aestivum (bread wheat). RNAcentral's name for it is "partial small subunit ribosomal RNA". Lineage: Eukaryota; Viridiplantae; Streptophyta; Magnoliopsida; Poales; Poaceae. The record is from RNAcentral.
AUGCCCUCGGGGCUGCAGUGGUGGCCGCCGGAGCUGCAGAAGAAUAUGGAGGCCGGCGGGGCUGCAAUGGAGCGCCGUUCGGGGGUCGUUAAUGCCACCAAGGCUGCAAUGGAGCUCCGUCUGGUCUGUGAAGAACCAGUCGCUUCAAUGCACCAGGGGCGCUGCCGGCCGGUGCUACAGAGCGUCGCCAGCGCCGGCAAGGGGGGCGUUUGGCACACUGUGUUGCAACUUCCACCCGUGUUGCGAGCCUGCAACCCACUCGCUGGUGCUGCAUGUUGUAUGGGGCGCGACGCCGUCGGGUAA